RNAcentral lists this ribosomal RNA (490 nucleotides) under uncultured bacterium Riz1075. RNAcentral's name for it is "bacterial SSU rRNA". It matches the Rfam family "Bacterial small subunit ribosomal RNA", at positions 8 to 488 of the family's 1533-position model. The record is from RNAcentral.
AGAGUUUGAUCAUGGNUCAGAGUGAACGCUGGCGGCAGGCCUAACACAUGCAAGUCGAACGGCAGCACAGAGGAGCUUGCUCCUUGGGUGGCGAGUGGCGGACGGGUGAGGAANACGUCGGAAUCUGCCUAUUUGUGGGGGAUAACGUAGGGAAACUUACGCUAAUACCGCAUAUGACCUUAGGGUGAAAGCGGAGGACCUUCGGGCUUCGCGCAGAUAGAUGAGCCGACGUCGGAUUAGCUAGUUGGCGGGGUAAAGGCCCACCAAGGCGACGAUCCGUAGNUGGUCUGAGAGGAUGAUCAGCCACACUGGAACUGAGACACGGUCCAGANUCCUACGGGAGGCAGCAGUGGGGAAUAUUGGACAAUGGGCGCAAGCCUGAUCCAGCCAUGCCGCGUGUGUGAAGAAGGCCUUCGGGUUGUAAAGCACUUUUGUCCGGAAAGAAAAGCUUCGGGUUAAUACCCCGGGUCNUGACGGUACCGGAAGAAUA